Molecule: non-coding RNA, 92 nt
Organism: Mycena vitilis
Lineage: Eukaryota; Fungi; Basidiomycota; Agaricomycetes; Agaricales; Mycenaceae
Source: the annotation of a GenBank genome assembly
UCUUGACUAGUAUAUCGGUUAGUACACGCGCUUGUCAUGACCCUGCCGGCAUACUUUCGCGCGAAAGCUGGGUUCGACUCCCAGGUCGAGAG